GAAAUUGUGUAGGUGUCUUUAAUGGGAUCACACAAACAACACACAAAACAGAGAAGAGAAAAGCAUAAAAGAUAUGAGAAACUAAAAAUUGAAAGCAAGGGAGUGUUGAUCAUGAGUUCCAAUUUCUUCCAUCAUCCUUGCUAAUAGUUCCCUUCCCAAAUCUCCCAUACCCAUGAAUAUGAAUAUGGAGAAGUGAUGAGAAUCACUUGGUGAUGGCAUAAACAGCAUAAAUGAUGCCAGGGAUGUAUCCAAAGAAAGUUAAGACCAAGCAGAUCCAAAAUUCAACUUGGCACCCAUAUUUGAGAAAGACACCAAGAGGAGGCAGCAGAAUAGCGAGAAGAAUAUCGAUGCAGUUUGUUGUGCCUUCGUCUGCCAUUUCUUUUCUUCUUCUUCUUCU
RNAcentral lists this unclassified non-coding RNA (397 nucleotides) under Hevea brasiliensis (rubber tree). Lineage: Eukaryota; Viridiplantae; Streptophyta; Magnoliopsida; Malpighiales; Euphorbiaceae. The record is from RNAcentral.